This 1523-nucleotide ribosomal RNA is filed under the name metagenome. RNAcentral's name for it is "bacterial SSU rRNA". It matches the Rfam family "Bacterial small subunit ribosomal RNA". The record is from RNAcentral.
AGAGUUUGAUCCUGGCUCAGAACGAACGCUGGCGGCAUGCUUCAUACAUGCAAGUCGAACGGUUGUAGCAAUACAAUAGUGGCGAACGGGUGCGUAACACGUGGAUAAUCUGCCCUUUGGCGGGGGAUAUCGGUUGGAAACGGCCGGCAAUACCGCAUGUGGCCUACGAAAUUCCGAUUUUGUAGAAGAAAGGCGCUUCACGGCGUCGCCAAAGGAUGAGUCCGCGGCCCAUUAGCUAGUUGGUGAGAUAAUAGCCCACCAAGGCUGUGAUGGGUAGCCGAGCUGAGAGGUUGAUCGGCCACACUGGGACUGAGACACGGCCCAGACACCUACGGGUGGCAGCAGUAGGGAAUAUUGGACAAUGGGCGAAAGCCUGAUCCAGCAAUGCCGCGUGAGUGACGAAGGAUUUCGGUCUGUAAAGCUCUUUUGUGAGGGAAGAAAUGACAUGUGAGGAAAUGCUCAUGUCUUGACGGUACCUCAUGAAUAAGGGACGGCUAACUCCGUGCCAGCAGCCGCGGUAAUACGGAGGUCCCAAGCGUUGUUCGGAAUUACUGGGCGUAAAGGGAGCGCAGGCGGACAGGUAAGUCUAAAGUGGAAUCCCGGGGCUCAACCUCGGAACUGCUUCGGAUACUGCCUGUCUUGAGUUCGUGAGAGGAAAGCGGAAUUCAGGGUGUAGCGGUGAAAUGCUUAGAUAUCCUGAGGAACACCAAUGGCGAAGGCAGCUUUCUGGCGCGAUACUGACGCUGAGGCUCGAAAGCGUGGGGAGCGAACGGGAUUAGAUACCCCGGUAGUCCACGCCGUAAACGUUGUGCGCUAGGUGUAGGAGGUAUCGACCCCUUCUGUGCCGCAGCUAACGCAUUAAGCGCACCGCCUGGGGAGUACGGUCGCAAGACUGAAACUCAAAGGAAUUGACGGGGGCCCGCACAAGCGGUGGAGCAUGUGGUUUAAUUCGAGGCAACGCGAAGAACCUUACCCAGACUUGACAUCCCAGGACAGCUUAUGAAAGUAAGUCCUCCCUUCGGGGACCCGGAGACGGGUGUUGCAUGGCUGUCGUCAGCUCGUGUCGUGAGAUGUUGGGUUAAGUCCCGCAACGAGCGCAACCCCUAUUCUUAGUUACCAUCGGGUAAUGCCGGGCACUCUAAGAAGACCGCCGGUGAUAAACCGGAGGAAGGCGGGGACUACGUCAAGUCAUCAUGGCCCUUACGUCUGGGGCUACACACGUGCUACAAUGGCCGGUACAAUGGGCUGCAAUACCGCGAGGUGGAGCCAACCCCAAAAAACCGGUCUCAGUUCGGAUUGGAGUCUGCAACUCGACUCCAUGAAGCCGGAAUCGCUAGUAAUCGAGGAUCAGCUACGCCUCGGUGAAUACGUUCCCGGGCCUUGUACACACCGCCCGUCACAUGACCCGAGUCGGUUGCACCCGAAGUCACUGGCCUAACCCGCAAGGGAAGGAGGUGCCGAAGGUGUGAUUGGUGAGGGGGAUGAAGUCGUAACAAGGUAGCCGUAUCGGGUGCGGCUGGAUC